Long non-coding RNA from Cygnus olor (mute swan), 481 nucleotides. RefSeq lists it as uncharacterized. Lineage: Eukaryota; Metazoa; Chordata; Aves; Anseriformes; Anatidae. The record is from RefSeq and is a predicted model, not a curated record. The transcript is spliced from 4 exons.
CCAGGCCCGGCCGCGCUGCCCCCUGCCGGCCGCCCGCUCCUGCCUCCGCCCGGGGGAAGGCGCUUGAAGAGGGCCCGGAGCUGGUGCUGCAGCGUACGACUACCUGUCUUCGCAGAAGUGCUGGUGCUCCUCGGGGUGCGUUUCUCCCAGCAGCAGCCUUUCAAGGCCUCUUUCCUCGGCAAGCAGCAUGCUGACAUUUCAAUAUUCCUUCAGCUCACCGGUUCAGACUAGAGUCACAGUGAGAAAAGCAACUUGGGUAACCAUGAAUAGCCUGAGAUUCAUUUCACUGGAUUUCCCAAGAAUUUAAUUUUAAAUUGAAAGCCCAUUGAACUUUUACUGAUGUGGAAUUGAACGCUGUAGAGCUCCCUCAAAAAGCUUCUAGCAUUUAAACAGCAUCAAAAGAAAGGAGUUCACAGUAGAUAUAAAAGAUUUCCGUGAAACAGAUCCUGUAUUGAUAAAGUUACUUUGAGAUGAGCAUUUA